AGAGCUUUGUAUCAUAUUUAUCAACAGUAAAAAUCAUCGACCCAUGAAAAAGUGAUGAGUUCUGAACUCAACCAAUAUGAUCUAAAGGUUAGAUCAGAUUGAGGGCAUCGAUGUGAUCAAUAUAGUUUUCUGUUUUAUAUCAUAUUUUAUUAUAUAAAGUUUUCAUAUCAUAGAUCCUUAAUGAUAGUUUAGAUCUAAUCUAAGAUAUGUUUAGAAGAUUAAAGUAUUUAAUCUUUUAUUAU
This 242-nucleotide long non-coding RNA is filed under the name Elaeis guineensis (African oil palm). Its description in RNAcentral is "long non-coding RNA (EGUI_LNC069746)". Lineage: Eukaryota; Viridiplantae; Streptophyta; Magnoliopsida; Arecales; Arecaceae. The record is from RNAcentral.